RNAcentral lists this ribosomal RNA (344 nucleotides) under uncultured Pseudomonas sp. FR015. RNAcentral's name for it is "bacterial SSU rRNA". It matches the Rfam family "Bacterial small subunit ribosomal RNA", at positions 1 to 353 of the family's 1533-position model. The record is from RNAcentral. Lineage: Bacteria; Pseudomonadati; Pseudomonadota; Gammaproteobacteria; Pseudomonadales; Pseudomonadaceae.
UAGAGUUUGAUCCUGGCUCAGAUUGAACGCUGGCGGCAGGCCUAACACAUGCAAGUCGAGCGGAUGAGUGGAGCUUGCUCCAUGAUUCAGCGGCGGACGGGUGAGUAAUGCCUAGGAAUCUGCCUGGUAGUGGGGGACAACGUUUCGAAAGGAACGCUAAUACCGCAUACGUCCUACGGGAGAAAGUGGGGGAUCUUCGGACCUCACGCUAUCAGAUGAGCCUAGGUCGGAUUAGCUAGUUGGUGAGGUAAAGGCUCACCAAGGCGACGAUCCGUAACUGGUCUGAGAGGAUGAUCAGUCACACUGGAACUGAGACACGGUCCAGACUCCUACGGGACGCAGCA